RNAcentral lists this non-coding RNA (23 nucleotides) under Arabidopsis thaliana (thale cress). The record is from RNAcentral. Lineage: Eukaryota; Viridiplantae; Streptophyta; Magnoliopsida; Brassicales; Brassicaceae.
UAGUCAUAUGCUUGUCUCAAAGA